This 2406-nucleotide long non-coding RNA is filed under the name Homo sapiens (human). RNAcentral's name for it is "HSALNT0221091". The record is from RNAcentral. Lineage: Eukaryota; Metazoa; Chordata; Mammalia; Primates; Hominidae.
GUGAGGGAUUCACCGGGAAAGAUGGCCGCCCGGGCUGGAGGCACAGGGCGGCAGCUGUGACUGUGCUUACUAAAGAAAGCUGGUCUUCACCCCUGGGAGGUGGCGCAUAUGUGCUUCCAAAUGGGAGGCCGGAUGUGGCUGGGCCAGCUGAUAUUUUGGAGCCCAAGGACCGAUCGCCAAGGCCACGUCCUCAGGGUGGCCUUCAGAGGGAUCUAUUUCAGGAGGGACCCAGAAAGUCGGGACUACUGUGACCCUUGCGUUUUUUCCCCACCAGUGUUGGCUGGCUUGACUGGAGGAGAUGCUUUUGAAGGGCUCUGAGGUGCCUGGGAGGGGCCCUGGAAGCCAAGCCAGGAGGGGAGUUUUGGGGAGGCGGGAGUGGGGGAGGGUGCAAGAACAAGGCACAGGAGAGACCAGGGAAAGAUAAUUGGAGCCCUUGGAACUGAGCUCCCAGCGACAGCCUCUGCCCAUAGCGUGGAGAACGUUAAGUCCAGCUCCCUGGAGGCAGAAUUCAUCUCUGCGGUUUCCCUUCCAGAGCAUGUGGCCGGCAUCUCCACUAAGACGAAUCACAGCAGGGCAGGCCUGAAAAGACAUAUUUUGGAGAACAUGUAUUGACUGUUCCAGCUGUGAGCAUGCUUCCUGCCCUCCCUCCAGGCUGCCCAGCAGUGCCGCUGCUGCAAAUCCAGGGGUUGCUGAGAGGACGGACUGCUCACAGGGCAGCUGCUGAGGUACAGAACCCACAGGUCGGGGACACGGUCACUGCCAGCUGCCACUCAAGAAAGAAGACGUGGCAGGAAGUUGCUGUGAAAGGUGAGCCAGCGCCAUGAGGAGUGGCUGCCUCUUGAAUCCUGUCAGUCUCCGGCAGAUCCGAUUACAUCUGGGACCCUUAAGAGUACUUGAAGCAAACGGCGCUGGUCUAUUUUAAUCCUGCUCCUUCUAGAAACUAGAAACUGAAAGAACUAUUCCUUCCAGCCCAGAACACUGUCUCUGAACAGCAAGAUGGCUUUGAAACGCUUUCACAACGAAGGUGUGCUCCACUGGGCACCACAACAUACGGUUCAGACGUUUAAAGCCUGUCUCAGCCCAAUUUCCUCUCCAUUUGCUCCCUGGGUAAGGUAUCCCCCCUUCAGUGCAGGCAGAACUGGCGACUUGCUUCUAAUCAACAAAAUAUGGCAAAGUGGUGGAGUCUAGAAGUCUGAGAUCAGGGCACCAGCCUGGCCGAGUUCUGAUGGCGUCUCGCUUUGUCACCCAGGCUGGAGUGCAGUGGCGCGAUCUCGGUUCACUGCAACAUCUACCUCCCAGGUUCAAGUGAUUCUCCUGCCUUAGCCUCCCGAGUAGCUGGGAUUACAGGCACCCACCACCACAUCCGGCGAAUUUUUUGUAUUUUUAGUAGAGACAGGGUUUCACCAUGUUGGCCAGGAUGGUCUUGAUUUCCUGACCUGGUGAUCUGCCCACCUUGGCCUCCCAAACUGCUGGGAUUGCAGGCGUGAGCCACCGUGCCUGGCCGACCACUGAUCUUUUCACUGUAUCCACAGUGUUGCCUUUUCCAGAAUGUCAUAGAAUUUGAAUCAUACUAUAUGUUGCCCUUUCAGAUGAGUUUCUUUCACUUACUAAUAUUCAUUUGUUUCCUCCAUGUCUUUUGGCUUGAUAAUUCAUUUCUUUUUAUCACUGAAUAAUAUUCCAUUGUCUGAUGUACCACAGUUUAUUUACGCAUUUACCUACUGAAGGAUAUCAGGACAUCUUAGUUGCCUCUGAGUUUUUGGCAAUUAUGAAUAAAACUGCUAUAGAAAGAUGUGUGCAGGUUUUUCUGUGGAUAUAGUUUUCAACUCCUUUGGGUAACUCCAAGGAGUGUGGUCGCUGGAUCAUAUAGUAAGAGUAUGUGUAGUUUUGUAACAAAUAGCCAAAUGUUCUCCAAAGUGGCAUUAGCAUUUUGCUUUCCCACCAGCAAGGAAUAAGAGUUCCUGUUGCUCUGUAUCCUCACCAGCAUUUGGUGGUGUCAGUGUUCUGGAUUUUGGCCAUUGUAAUAAAUGUGUGGUGUUAUCUCAUUGUUGUUUUAAUUUGCAUUUGCCUGAUGACAUACAAUGUGGAACAUCUUUUUAUUGAAGCUAAUGUUUUAAGCCUGGCAAUUUAGUCUCUUCUCUUCCUGUAACCCUGAGCCACUGAGCACAGCUUUCUCCAGAAGCACCUGUGAGUCACUAUACACCACUGCUAUCUCCUGAAUGCUGGAGGCACUGGAGUGGGCCCUUUCAACUUUCAUUUUCUUAUUACCUAGAGAACUUGGCAUUGGUAGAUGCCCAAAAAAUGUAUGUGAGAUGCCUGCACAUUAAAAGACUGGCUGAAAACUUAAGCAGUAUACUGGUUUAGAUCAUUCAUCGCUGUCGGCAAGAGUAAAAAGCUAUGUAGCAGCAU